This 402-nucleotide ribosomal RNA is filed under the name uncultured prokaryote. Its description in RNAcentral is "bacterial SSU rRNA". It matches the Rfam family "Bacterial small subunit ribosomal RNA", at positions 355 to 774 of the family's 1533-position model. The record is from RNAcentral.
UGGGGGAUAUUGCACAAUGGGGGAAACCCUGAUGCAGCGACGCCGCGUGAGUGAAGAAGUAUUUCGGUAUGUAAAGCUCUAUCAGCAGGGAAGAAAAUGACGGUACCUGACUAAGAAGCCCCGGCUAACUACGUGCCAGCAGCCGCGGUAAUACGUAGGGGGCAAGCGUUAUCCGGAUUUACUGGGUGUAAAGGGAGCGUAGAUGGCAUGGCAAGUCAGAUGUGAAAACCCGUGGCUCAACCACGGGACUGCAUUUGAAACUGUCAAGCUGGAGUGCAGGAGAGGUAAGUGGAAUUCCUAGUGUAGCGGUGAAAUGCGUAGAUAUUAGGAGGAACACCAGUGGCGAAGGCGGCUUACUGGACUGUAACUGACAUUGAGGCUCGAAAGCGUGGGGAGCAAACA